ACUUUUUUGGUGACCCCCGCCCUUCUGAACGUUUUGGCUGGCUACGAGUUUGUAAAAAGUACAAACACUUCUCUUCUAUUCACAUCUCUGUACUGGCAAACACACCACGACGGAAGUUCCAAUAACCACUUUCAUUAGUUGCCAGCAGAGAGCAGCACAGUUUUAAAAAAGAAUCGACUUUUAGAGUGUUGAAAUGCUUUGCAGACCAGAUUGAAGCUAUAGUAUUUGGACAAGCCCUACCCCACACUCGAAGCUUUCUCGGGAGUAUCUAAAUCAAUAUAAACUAGUUGCCAGCUUUUGAACGGCUUCAUCAGAUGCUCCAAGUGACACCAAGCCAAUUUCCUGAGAGAAUUGAGCAAAGCUGGGUUCAGCCAGGAGAGGGACAUGGCCCAAAAGCUCAUGACAGGUAUCACUGGAAAAGAGGAAGAAGAACUGAUGCUGAAUCAGUUAAAUUAUCCGUUGGAUUCACAGAUACAACAUUGGCAUGAGAUUUCAAGAGAUGGAAGAUCUCAUCGAGCUGUUCCCUGUUACUGUCACAGUCAACAAAAAUCUCAAACUCAGAAUUUCUUCUUCUGGAUUUUCGAGAUUCUAUGUGUACCAGGUUCACAUGUUUCUCCUGAUGGAUAAGACCAUUUUCGUUAGAUUGUCAAUAGUUCUGAGAGCUAAAAUAUCUGCCAUUCAGUUAUUUCCUGAAGAGCGUUUAGUUAUACGAGUUUGCUAAUCAACACAAAAGAAUUUAGAUUUUUGAAAUGCCUGUCAUUGAAUUCACUUCCUAGCAUAGUAAUUGUCAUUUUAUGUUAAUGCUACUCUUGUCCAGUAUGAUCAUUCUAAGCCAAUUGAUAUAAACAAAUAUUUGUUUAUAUCAAUUGGCUUAGAAUGGUUCAUCUAUGGCUUACAUUAUGCUUCAUGUGUAAUACCCUCUCCUGUCUUCUAGAUGUACAUAUGCACUGCUUCUUUACUUUCCUGUAAAGAACUGAACAAUGCCCUUUGAGUAAAAUUAAGCCAAUCAUACUGAUGGUUAAUUUACUAGUCAAUAAGAUAAUUCAUUUGCUACCAUUGCCAUUUUUUCUAUGUGCAUUCUUUUCAGGAGCAUCUGAAAAGACUAUUGAUUCAUCUUCCUGAGAGGGAAAUAUACAAUUUCAGCCUUACAUGUUACACUGGAAAUGUGGAAAGAAAAAGUACCACUGAAAUUGUGCUUCCUUCUUCAGUACUUCGUAAUGUACAAAGUUGCCCUGAGUUAAAAGUCUU
Molecule: long non-coding RNA, 1248 nt
Organism: Hemicordylus capensis (graceful crag lizard)
Lineage: Eukaryota; Metazoa; Chordata; Lepidosauria; Squamata; Cordylidae
Exons: 3
Source: RefSeq, a predicted model, not a curated record